Molecule: ribosomal RNA, 119 nt
Filed under: Trichodesmium sp. St18_bin1
Lineage: Bacteria; Bacillati; Cyanobacteriota; Cyanophyceae; Oscillatoriales; Microcoleaceae
Source: RNAcentral
GCCAACGGCCAUAUCACGCUGAAUACACCAGUUCUCGUCCGAUCACUGAAGUUAAGCAGCGUUGAGCCUAGUCAGUACUUGGAUGGGUGACCGCCUGGGAACACUGGGUGCUGUUGGCA